Non-coding RNA from Vicugna pacos (alpaca), 6621 nucleotides. The record is from RefSeq and is a predicted model, not a curated record. Lineage: Eukaryota; Metazoa; Chordata; Mammalia; Artiodactyla; Camelidae.
AGCACAGACGACGGCGCCGGAGGCGGGGCGGAGCGUGGCGUGCGUGCGUCGUGACGCGAUCCGCUGCGUCCGUCCCGCCGCAAGUCAAAGCGCUGUUGCCAGAGAGAAGACUGUGGCGGCGGCUAUGAAACCCAGCGUCGUGAACCUGCUUGGGCAGGACUUGGUGGUGGAGCGCCUCAAAAGUCGCUACGGACUGGGGGGCGGCUGCCCCGUCGAGGUGAGGCCUUGCCUUGCCUGCCGCCGGGGCGUUGGCGGUCGGACCGCGCGGAGCGAGCAUCAGAAGCGGCCUCCCCGCACCCCAGCGACAUGAUGCAGAAGUUGAGCACUUAACUGAAGUUCUUAAAGAAGGAAAGAAAGAAAAAAAGCAAGAGGUUAAGGUCCUCUUUUGAUGCAUUGAAAGAACUGAAUGAUAGCUUCAAAAAACAGACUGGAUUUCAUUUCAUCACCUCAGCAAGUUGAAACACGAAGAAUCUGGGGUGGACAGUGAGAAACCAGCACUUGGACUUGCUUCUCAGAGAUAUGACAUUCAGGAGAAGUGUGUGAAGGUUUGCUUUUGAGUUUGAAAUGUAUGACUCAGUGGACAUGAACAGUGAAAAAGGCAUUUAGUGGUAUAUUUUACAUGAGAAAAAAAUAUUGAAAGUAUUUUUGAUAGCAAAUUAAUCAUUCCAAUAGUCAGUUCUAAAAAGAUUCAUUUCAGACUUAGUUAAACCUAAUUACCUCCCCCCCCCAAAAAGAAAAAUGAGUUAAUUUGAAUAAUUAAUGGAGGUACUGGGGAUUGAACGCAGGACCUUGUGCAUGCUAAGCACACGCUCUACCACUGAGCUACACCCUCCCCUCGUACUUACAUUUUUAUUAACAUGAUGGAAAUUUCAUUUUAAAAACAGACCAGAAAUUGAAAACCUACUCCAAAAAUUGCAAAGUAACUAUAUUAGAGUUAGGCAGUUAAUCAGUGAUAUAAACAAUUUCUGAUACAUAUCAUUUUAGGAUUCAGAUCCCACUAAAAUAAUUUUAUUUUGCUUUUUGUCAUGAAGGGAUAAAAAGUAUUUUCAAGGGGCUUCUCAUUAACAAAGAGAAAUGACUGUUUUCUUAAAUUACAGACGUUAAUUUGGAUAUUGAUACUCACGGUUUCCAGUCAGUAUGAAUUGUCAUUAGAGAUUCAUUUGUAUUCCACAAGAAAUACAUUAAAACUCUGAAGGGUGGAUAUCUAAAGUUGUUUGUUUGAUUUAACAUUUUCAGAAACGGUUUCAUAAUUAUUAAACAGGCCAGGGUUUCAUUUUAGGAUAUCAUUUCCAGUUUCAUCCUGGCCUGAAAAGUUUCUUCUAAAUGCCUUUUGUGCUAGAUAGGAUAAUGCCCCAGAUGUUCAUAACCUAAUCCCUGGAACCUGUCAGUAGGUUACAAGUAAAUUAAGGUUGUUGAUCAGCUGACCCUUCAAACCAGUCAGGAUUAUCUGGGUGGGUCCAUUAAUCACAGGACUGCUUCAAACCAGACAGAAGGGACAGAAGAGGAGGUCAGAGACUCGGCUCAUCCUUGCUGGUUUUGAAGGUGGAGGAAGAGGGUCACACCCAAGGAGUGGGAGUUGCUUCUGGAAGCCAGGAGUUACCCUCCGCUGACAGCCAGCAAGGAUCUCAGUCCUACAAGCACAAGACAGUGAGUGUAGUCAGCAGCUAGAGGAGCAGCAUGUGGCCCCCUGGUCUCCAGAAAGGAGCCCAGCUCUGCUCACACCUGGAUUUUAGCUGGUGAGAAUCCAUAAUUUGUUAUGGCAGGAAUGGGAAACAAAUGCACCUUUGUUUAGAAUUUCUCUUUUAGCACCUCCGUCAACUAUUCUGUUUAUAUCUAGCCUCACUUUAGAAUUAGCUGCUGACUAGGAGGGCCUCCAGUAUUAAAGUUCUGUAGAGAAAUACUGUUUGUUAGAACUGAACUAGGAUAUUAAGGCUAACAGUUGAUAAUUUUAGCAGAUAGUGUAUGGGUCACAUAAUCUGUUUUUACAUUAGAUUACUGGCAUAGGGAAUAUUUAGCAUGUGUUUGGAAAAGGGUUCUUUUUGUCAUCCUUAAAUAAGGAUCAUUACUUAUUGACUUAUUCUAGAUUUAGUUUUUGGUGAGCCUUGAUCUUUAAAAUAUUUUCAAUUUAUGGUUCCUAGUAUAUUAGUAAAGGUAGAAUAAUGUUAAAGCUUAUUAAUAGUCUUCUUCAUAGAAAAAGAGAAGGAUAAAUAGCACCAAAUUUAUUAAUUACUUAAUUGAAUAUACAUGUGGCCAAAAGCAGCGAGUAUUCAGAUAUUUUUAGGUGUAUGUACAAUUCCUGAUUUAAAAUAAGGUAGUCUUUUUUUGUGACAUUAUUGUAUGAAUCACUUUGAUGGCCCCUAUGUUUAAGAAUACUAGUGUAAUGGAAAAUAGCGCAGAAUCAUGGCUCUACAAAUUACUUUUGGGGACUUCUGACACAUUUUGUUGUAUAUUUUAUCACAGCCAUGAUUCAUUAUCAUUUGAAGAGCGAUUUAAUAUUUUAAAACACAAACAACUAUUGGGGACUAAAUAUGGUAUAUUUUAAGUAGAAGAUCAAACCACAUAAGAAACCGCCUUAAUAAGAUCAGUUUUCCUUGUGUGGCUCAAAAACAGAUCGGUGGAAUAUUUUCAAAGAAACGGCAAAAUAAGUAAUUCAGUAUAACUUAAAGUGGAAUCGGCUGCUUGAAGUUGCAACCUGAAGUUACACUGAUGAUUGGAAAAAUACCUGUAGAAAGAAGAUUGAUGUGACCAAUAUGGCAGAUUGGGGAGCUCCAGGCCCUUGUUCCCUAGUGGAGAUGCUGAGGUAACAACAGGGUACUGACCAGACAUAUGUUUGUGAGAAUUCUAGAGACCAGUUGAGAAACUGCAGCACCCAAGCCAACAUGUAACCAGGAAGAGGCUCCAUCGAAGGGAAGGAAAGUUUGUGACAUUUGGGAUGCCUGUGUCCCUUUCAUUGUAGCCCAGUGCAGUCAGGAGGACACACUCCUGUAACCAUGGCUCCUCCCUGGGGACAGAAACAGGCGAGGACUGUGUGUCCAACAUUUUACCUUGUCGGGUACUGGCUGCAGGACUGGUUUCUGUUUUACUUGACUAGGUACUGACGAGAAUGGUGACAUUAUUUGGAAGCUUCAGAAAAUAGUCGUGAAUGCUGCAGUGCAUUAGAGCUGCACAGAUCUACACUUCUCCAGGCAGAUGCCAGGGGAGAAGGAGUACAGGCUCCCGAGAAGAAAACAGGUAAGCCACGUUGGAAAUUGAGACAGUUAAAGCACACACACAUAAGGCCAGAGAAGACACCUCCCUAGAAAAGUUUUGAGAGGUCCCUGAACCACAAGCUGGACCGGUGUUGAAGGUCUUCCUCUCCACAAAGCCACUCAUAAGGACUAGGAGAGGCAGUGGUUUUUACCACAUGCCAAAGUAAAAAUAAAAAAAGGAAAGAAAGACAUAUGGCUCAGUCAAAGGAACAAAACAAACUCCAGAACCGACCGUAAAGAAAUGCAGAUCUCCGAACUUCCAGGCAGAGAAUUUUAAAACUCUCUUAAAGAUGUUCAGUGAGCUAAAUAAAAGAGAACACAGAUAGACAACUAAGCAAAAUCAGGAAAACAGUGUGUGAGCAAAUUGAAAAUAUCACGAAAAGAUAGAAAUUCUAAGAAAGAACCAAAUGACUCUGGGAGCUAAAGAAUACAAUAAUUUUAACUGAAAAACUUCAUUACAGAGGCUCAACAGCAGACUUCAUCAGGCAGAAGAAAGACUCAGCAAAGAUGAAGAUAGGUUAUAGAAGUCAUUAAGUCAGGAGCAAAAAGUGGGGGAAACUGAAGAGAGCCUGAGGGACUUGCAGAACAUCAUCAGGUGGACUGAGUGGACUAACGUAUGCAUUAUGGGAGACCAGAAAGAGAAGAGAAAGGGGCAGAGAUUAUUUGAAUAAAUGAUGGCCGAAAACUUCCCAAGACUGAGGAAAUAAAUGGACAUACAAUUCAAGAAGCUCAACAAACUCCAACUAGGAUACCCACCCCCAAAACUCAUUCUGGGACACAUUGUAAUUAAACUUCUGAAAGUCAAAGACAGACUGGUAAUCAUCAGGAGAAAAGUGAUUUUUUCACAUACAAGUGAGCUUUUCUAAAAACACCUUGGAGAUUUUGCGGGUUUGGUUCCAAACCACUGCAGUAAAAUGAGUCAGAUUAAUGGUAUGGUUUCCCAGUUCAUAUAAAAGUGACGUUUACACUGUACUGUAGUCUGUUAAGUGUGCAAUAGCAUUAUGUCAAAAAACAAUGUAAAUACCUUAAGAAAUGCUGUACCUGAGCCUUCAAUGAGUUGUAAUCUUUUUGCUGGUGGAGGAUUUGAAAUGCUGUUGGAAAAAUGGUGCCAGUAGACUUGCUCAGUGCAGGAUUGUCACAAACCUUCAGUUUGUAAAAACUGCCAUGUCUGCUAUGUACAGUAAAGCAAAGCAUGAUAAAACGAGGUCUACCUAUGUCAGUGGGUUUCUUAGCGGAAACUUUGCAGGCCUGGAGGCAGUGGGAUGAUGUACCAAUCAUGAUACAGUAUCUGCAGAAUUGUCCUUCAGAAAUGAAGGUGAGAUUAAGACUUUGCUAUAUAAACAAAUGUUCAGUGAGUUCAUGACUAAUAGACGGCCCUGUGAGAAAUGUUAAUAGAGUCCUGCAGUUUGAAAUGAAAGCACACCAAACAGCUACAUGAAGCUGUAUUAUAGAGUUCUUCAGUAAAGGGAAAUACAUGGGCAAAUACAGUAACCAGUAUUGUAAUUUUGGUGCAUAAGUCCACUUUUAAUUCUUGCAUAGAAUUUAAAAGACAAAAGUAUAAAAAAUAAUUGUAAAUCUGUGCUAAUGAGUUGUACAAAGUAUAAAGAUGUAAUUUGUGACAUCGAUAAUACAGGUAGGGUGGUGGAGCUGUAACAUAGUAUUUUGAUAUGUAACUGAAGUUUAUACUUUAAAAGACUUUUGACUUUAACGUGUUUUGUGUAAUUGCAGUGGUAACUGCAAAGAAAAUAUCUGGAGUAUACACAAAAGGAAAUGAGAAGUAGAUGAAAGUAUAUCACUACAAAAAAAAAAUCAGUGAAACAUGAAAGAAAGAAGGCAGUAUAAGAAAAAAGGAGGGACCAAAAGCUCUAAGGUACACAGAGCACAGGUAAAAAAGGGCAACAAUCAUUCCCUGUUAGUAAUUGCUCUAAAUGUAAAUAAAUUAAACUCCCCAAUCAAAAGACAUAAGAUUGGCUGAAUGAAUUAAGAAAACAGCAUUGAACUGUUUGCUGCCUACAAGAGACUCACUUCCCCUAACCCCUGGCAACAUCAUUCUGCUUUGUAUGUUUCUUAAAAACAACCAGCUUAAAAAAAUCCUCAUGCCUAAGAGACACAUUUUGGGGUGGCAAAGUUUGCUCCCCUGCAAGGACACGAUGCUAAGUGAAAUAAGGCGAGAUACUGUGUAAUUCCGCGUGUAUGAGGUCCUUGGAAUAGUUAAAUUCAUGGAGACAGAAAGUAGAAUGAUAGUUGCCAGGGGUUAGGGGAAGGAGAAGAGUUAAUGUUUAACAGGUAUAGAGUUUGUUUUACAAGAUGAAAAAAGUUCCGUGGAUGGUGGUGCUGGUAGCACAACAGUGUGGAUGCACUUAAUGCCACUGAACUGUACACUUCUAAAUGGGUAAGACAGUUGUAGGGGAGCAGAAUUUGCCACCCCAAAAUAUGUCUCUUUGGCAUAUUAUUUUAAGCUGGUUAUUUUCUAAGAAACAGCAGAUGUGGGAAAAACUCUGAAAACCAAGCAGGAGUUACCCUCUGGGAAGAAACAUUUACAUCUGUAAAGGAAAUCUCCAUUUGUUAAGGAUGUCUCCCUCUUCUGUACCAGAAGGAGGAGAAGGACUAAAUCUCUAGAAAGUCUUAUCUAUGAAAGCAAUGACAGACCCGCCUAACCACCUUACCUUUGUUUGCUGAGCUUAUCCUGGUAACUUCUGAUAACUGACUCUCUCCACCCUCAACAUUCUCUUUAAUUUUUAGCUGGAGAUGAUAGUAUUAAGGUGAGAGCUUCAACCAUUUUGGCAAGUUAGUUUUCCUGGGUCUCUCCCAUGUAUAUGUGUUCUUAAAGUUUUGCUUGAUUUUCUCCUGUUAAUCUGUUUCAUGUCAAUUUAAUUCCUAAACCAGCCAAAAGAACCUAGAAGAGUAGAGGAAAAUUUCUCCCUCCCCAAACAGAUCUUUUGUAUGCAAUUUGGAAGGAGAAACUGAAGUUGCAUCCGUAUUGUUUUCUCUCUGGGGAGGUUGGAGCUUCUCUGUUGUUCCUUAUUGCUGUCUUGUUGGGGAGGGGUAGCAGCUGGGCCCAGGGCAACUCCUCUUACUGCUGAAUCUCCUCCUUUAACUUCUAAUUCUGUCCCAGGUGCAUGUUUAGCUGUGUCCAAGGGCACCUGCUUCCGUUGCAGAACACACUUAACAUCAGAUAGAGGCUUGGGGGCAGUGAGAGCCACGUGUGCUGUAUCCUUGGGGGUUCCACUCUCAUGGGUUCCAGAUUGAUCUUGCUCCAUACAUAGCCCCCUUCACAUCCCUCUCCCCUUCCUGCCUGCCCUGCUGACUUCAGACUGACACCAGAUGCAGAACUUAACAAGCUUCCACGACUGCACGUAGUCAAAUUCUUAGA